UUGGGCUCUCGAGGACCCAAUUGCAAGCGCUAUUUCCAGCAUGGUCACUGAACGGCAUCCGGUCGUCUGUUCCUAGCCGGGUACCAAAGCGUACAGUCCGUCUCGAUUUGGCCUGUGCCGUGCUCGAGCCCGUGCCCGCAAGCAAACCCUGAAAACCCUAGAAAGGGUGGAGAGGCCUUUGGCUUCCCCUUUUUGCGUGGCGAUCGAGGGAGGAGGCGUGCCUGCGAAGCGAUCGCCACUCUGGGAAUUCUUCUGCCGUCGGUUUCUUAGCUCACCGUUUGGGAUUCCGUUCGGUGGUUUUCUUUACGUUUCGUUCUUUGCCUUCGUCUCUUCGGGUGGGCGUUUCUUAUCUGCGGUCGGUUGGUUUCGUGGAGCUGAUUGAGAGGGAGAAGGUGGGAUGUGACAAGAUGGAGGGGAGCUUCGGAGGUGGUGGUGAUGAUGGUAUUGGAAAGAAUGGGGGACCAAGCGACGGUCGGCCGCCAAACCCUUUCGCCGGAGCGUAUCGGCAGUUCAUGGGCGGGGCCCAUGGCGAGUCACCUUGUAAGUCGGCUCUCGGUCGCCAUGACUCCCUUGUAAGUCCUCCUCCGUCUUCUUGUUCUUUUCCAAUAUAUUUCUUUCGUUAGAUUUGAUCUUUCUAAUGUCGUAACUGUGCUAGUAUUUCGACAUUUUUUCCGUAAAAUUCGAAGCACCGAUUGUGUCAGGAUUUAUGUAGACGACUCCGAAUUGUUGUCGUUCUUGUUUCUGCCAUUUUUUUCAAGAUCAAAAUGAUUAGUGUAUUUAUAUGUUUUUGUGCACGCUGAUAUCAAUUUGCAGCGAAGACAUUGUUGUCUGCAUCAUAAAGAUCUAAGCUUUUGGGUUUUUCUCCUUUCUUUUCUUGUGCUGGGUUUUGAUAAUUUUUCUCAAAGGAUUUUGAGGUUCUUCCUAAUGAUUUAGCGUCCAAGAUAUCUGGGGUGUUCAUCGUUAUUGUUUCUGAAGCAAGGAAAAGCCUUAUAUGCUUUCUCAAUAUAUCUUUAAUUGCCCAGUCAGACAGUUCCUAGCAAGAAAGUCCUGAAGCACAGGAUAUUUGGAGAUUGUUUCAUCAUUGCUAGUUAAACCUAAUAAUUAGUACUAGGGAAAAAAAAAUCCAAAUAAGCAUUACUAGAAAUAAAAGCUUUCUUCAACGAUUUUGAGUACGUUAAGUUAUGUUUAAUAAUGAAUGUCAUUCUGAUAGCUGGUUAAUAAAUGCAUUAUGGACUUUUCUACUAAAUUGAUUUAAGGGUUUUUUUUUUGGCUAUCUUACAUUAGAGUUUUUUUAUAAAAUUGGUAUUAUAUAAAAGAGAUUUCUCUUUGGCAUCAAUCUACAACUUUAUCAGAUGAGCAUGAGAAGCUUUGUCUGUUUGCUACAAGUUAUUACUUUAUCAUACCAUGAUAUGAAAAGUUUGUAACCAUGAUUUGCUGACCUCUAGUAUCACUGGAUGAUAAUCAUAAUCAUGCAUAUCUUUCUCUCUUGUUUCUUAUUUUAUGGAACCUUUAUUUUUAGGGCUAUAACUGUGUACAUUACCCUUCCCUACACCUCAUAUUGCUGGGAGCUUCAGGCACCAGAUGUACUUCUUAUUUCAUGGAACUUCUUUUUGUGUUGAAUUUUGUCAAUAGGAAAACCCAUUUUCACAGAGUAUUCAGUAACAUCUAAGAAUUUCCAUCACUUUGGCUACGGAAGACAUCAGUCAUCCAUGUAUCUUACGAAUUAUUUAUUAGUAAUAGUUUAGUUUUUUUAGAACUCCAGUAGAUAUGGAAUUUCGGGCAUCACCUGCAUUGAUUUUAAGGUGGCCAAAAUUUUUUAAACUAAUUAUAUAUUAAUGACUAUCUUGAUAAGUUGCCUUAGGGAUUUCAUGUUCAAAGAUGGACUUGGAAUAGCGGAGGCUUUUGUUUUUUUGUCUACUUUAUCAUAAAAGAACUAAUGUGAAACAUCGAAGAAUUUUUAUCACAAACUGUACCUUGAGCACGCUCAAGUUUUUUUUUCUCUUAAUUAUUUUAAGCUUAACUAUGAUAUGUCUGACCCUCGAUCAUGUUCACCAUACCUUUUUCUCUUAAUUAUUUGAAGUUUCACUACGAUUUGUCUGACCCUUGAUCAUGUUCACCGUUCCCAAAAAUCUUCGGAAACUGCCACUUCAGCUGUCAUCAAUGAUCAAACCUAAUAAAUAUAUGUGAUUAUACAAAAAAUGCAUGUCAAUUUACCAUGAGUAGAUAGUUGAUUCAUCAUGGCUGGUACAUGAUUGUAAGUGCAUUAUCAAGGUGAUAAUAAAUAAAAUAUUUGACAGUCACAUUUAAUAGUUUAACAGUAAAUAUUUUACCUUUUUGCAGUGGUAAGCUGGAUACUCGACAUAUCAUUUUAAGCUCCGACACCUAUAUGUGACCUGAGCAAUGUGCUCCUAUACUGUGGCUUCAUGGAUUGGCAUUUUCUAGAUGCAUGAAGGGUCCCAGAGUUUGAGUGCUUAAAAUUUUAGAGAUAUGCUUUUCUUAUAAACUUUUUUCAUUUUAUGUAAAGAGAUAAAGUAAUUUUCAACCUAUACUCCUGACCACAUGGGCAAAAAAUGGCUAGGACAGAUAGCUAGAAACCAUUUUUUUGCUAGUGCUCCGUGAACUUUUUCCUUUUAAAACAACAUAUUUUGAUUGUUUGCAAGUUCUACAACUACACUAAACUAGGAAAAUUAUGAACUAAAUAUACCUCAAGAGUAGCAUCAGAAUGCUAAUUUUUCUUCUUAUAGUAGAAAUUCAUCAUUAUGUUACAUUUCUCUUUCUUUUUCUCUAUGCUUGUGUCCUUCCUCUUCUUUCUUUCUUCUUUUUCUGUUGCUUUCCUUCACUUCUAUCUUUGAAAUCUCAACCCAUAUAGCAUGUUGUUCUGUCUUGUGCAGUAGCAGCUAGCUUUUGCUAUUUGUGGUGUUACCAAAUCCCAGUUCUCCAGUUUCUUACCUGUNN
This 2955-nucleotide long non-coding RNA is filed under the name Musa acuminata (dwarf banana). Its description in RNAcentral is "long non-coding RNA (MACU_LNC004255)". The record is from RNAcentral. Lineage: Eukaryota; Viridiplantae; Streptophyta; Magnoliopsida; Zingiberales; Musaceae.